This 8091-nucleotide long non-coding RNA is filed under the name Sorghum bicolor (sorghum). Its description in RNAcentral is "long non-coding RNA (SBIC_LNC004305)". The record is from RNAcentral. Lineage: Eukaryota; Viridiplantae; Streptophyta; Magnoliopsida; Poales; Poaceae.
CUUCUAAUUCAUUAUGCAAUUACUAAUUAUGUAUGUUCUGGUUCACAACUCUUUUGAGUACUUUAAUCUAUAGGACGCUAUAGGUGAGAGUUGUAGUAUAGGUAUAAGCGUGGUGCUUAGACCUAGAUUACUUGUGGAUAUCCCCUGUCUAGCUGGAUCGUGUGGUAGGCCGCGUAGGUGACAGUUACGUUGGUCCUCUGUAGUCCACCUCUCGUUAGCAGGAUGGGUAGAGUUUAUCGGCCUAAGGAUAAGCAUCCUUUGUGGUGUACUCUUAUCACGUGGUUCGUCCCAGACAUAGACAUACCCCUUUGAAGUAGAGAAACCAUAGUUAUACUCCCUAUUCUGCUACCAUCGCCUAUAUAUUAGAUUGCUCUAUUCUCUAUUCCCAUAUUAUCACUCACUGUUAUCUUACCUUUAAUAUUGUUCUUAUUUAAUUCUAUCAUCUUUCCUAUUUACACUUAUCUAUCUAUCCUAGUUAAGUUAGAGCGUAGUUGGUUCUCCCGUUUCCCUGUGGAUACGAUAAAACCUUUAACCGGGUAAAAGCUUUAAUGGUAUCCGUGCGCUUGCGGAUUAUCUGUGUGCGUAUAAAUACCAUAGUACACUCUAGUGCCAUGCUGGGGAUGACAACCUAGUAUUCAAGUGGUGUUAGCAAGUGUCAACAAGCAUUUUUGGCGCCGUUGCCGGGGAACGGUUGCUGAGUUGACUACGAACUAGCUUAAUCAUUUUCUAAAAAAUAAAAAUAAAAAAAAUAUAUUUUCCUUUUAUCCUUUGCCUCAUCUCUGCUAAUCUUUCUUCUUAUCUAAUCCUUGAUCUCUGGUCUAUCAUGAAUUCAAACAUGUCUAUCUAUGAAUUUCAUAGACCUACGGGCACACAUCUCGAACCACCAAAAUCUUCAAAGCCUAUCAUAGCAUCUAGUUUUGAGAUAGACCCCGAAUACAUAGAAUUUGUUCAAAAACAACCUUUCUCAGGAGAAGGUGAGGAAAACCCAUACACACACCUAAGAGAGUUUUAUCGAGUAUGUGACCUCCUUCGCAUAGAAGGCAUGUCCGAUGAGACCCUCAAAUGGAAGCUCUUUCCAUUCUCUUUAAUAGGAAAAGCUAGACAUUGGUACAAACUCAAAGUAGGGAGUGUUCAUGGAGAAUGGAAGGAGUUACAUAAUAGUUUUCUUUUAAAAUAUUUUCCAAUCCCUAAAGUGGCGGAACUUCGGCGUGAGAUUCUUUCUUUUAGACAACUGGAAGAAGAAUCUCUUAGCAAAUCAUGGGACCGCUUUAUUAACCUUACUCUCACUGGCCCAAAGCUUUCUAUUCGAGAAGAAGUUCUUCUAAUUCACUUUUUUGAGGGCCUUAGUGGGAAAAAUAAGCAAACCUUGAAUACAGCCUCUAGAGGAUCCUUCUAUCACCUACCUGCUAGUGAAGCUUGGAAUUUGAUUGAUUUAUUAAGUGGAAAGUCUCCUAGCUUUUAUAUCCCUGAGAAAGAGACAGAACCAGUUCCUAGACAAGAAGAAGAAGUUUUGAUAGCCAGAUCACAACCACUUCAAUUCCAAACUUUAGCUAUCGAUCCUAAACCAUCAAUACCCCAAAAUUCUCCAAGGGAGGAAGGAAUUCCGACCUUAAAUCUUUCAGAUGCUGAUGGUUUAGACUUCUGGUUCCAUAAGAGACCUUCAAGCAGGGAUAAUUCAAAUCCUCGCAAUAAUGGUUCUCUUAGAGAAUGUCCUGGUUCCUGUUAUGAAGAAGUCGAGGAUGACACAUCAAGUAAAGGAGAGCUAAGCCAUAUUGAAAAUUCUAACACCUCCCCUUUCCUGAUCACAAGUUCAAAAUGGCUAGAAUGUGUAGAAUGGAUGGACAAGGAAGAAGCCUUAAUGAAUUCUGACUUUGGUUCAAUUUCAAAUGGUGAGUUCUUGACUCCCUUUGAAGAUGGGAUUCAUCCAACUAUAGAAGAGGACAUAAGUGAGAACAAUCCAAGAGGAACUCUGAACAUUCAGAUUGGAGACGAAGAUAACAUUAAUGAGCAUGAAAUUUAUUUCAUAGCCACUUUGUUUACUCCACGCUCAUAUGCAACAUCUUCCCAAUCUAUUGGUCUCUCCAACAUCACCACAUUUGAGAUUUCCAACCCCCUCUUCCUUUCUAGUUAUAAAAACUUUAAAAGGGCGGUUGUCGAUGCAUAUGUCUAUAAUAAAUAUUGCAGAUCUCGUUGAGUUGAUCUUGAUAUAGGUCAGCAUUGGAAGGGAAACCACUUCGUCGAUAUAAAUUGAUGGUUUCCCAAGGACAAGCUUAGUGUCUUAAAAUAAGCACUGAUCAGAUCAUAACAUGAGCUUUUAAUUAUUUACAACAUUACCUGGUGUAUUGAGCAUAUAAGGAUAAUUGUAAAAAUAUUCCUUCGGGUAUUCUUGUCACUAACCUUUCCAGGAUUGGAACAAGAAGAUCAGAUGAAUGACAUGCAAGUACAAGGUAUGUCCAACCAAUCAUCAUGGAACACUGAAUUAAAUUCAUCCAAACUUGAAUUCUGCAAAAUUCAAGCUUGGGGGAGUACUUUACAUAAAAACAUCCUUUGCCAUGUUGCUAUGUUGGUUGUCCCUACCUUUAAGACAUGCUCAAUUUGUUAAAUACUAAUCACACUACUUCAUCUCCACUUGAGUAGAUCUCUAUAAAUGCUGUCAUGUUACCUUUGUCUAUUUACUAGUAAGUGUUAGUUUGGAAGUACUGCACAUACUUCUAUUGGCUUUUAAAUUAAGCAUGGUGCUUAGGUUAAACAGCCUUCCUUAAUCUGAUUAGACAUGGAGUCUAGUUCGGUUAUUGAACUAAAAACUUCUUGUGUAGACAUUGGUAUAUUUUUGUCGGACUAACCCCUGUAGAAAAACUUUCAAUAUCUAUUUGAGAAGUCCUGAGAUAAACUCACAUCAAAAACGAAGAGAGUGACACAUGAAGUUUAACAAUUUGCACAAGAAGGACAUAGCUCAUUCAUCAUAGAGAGAUGAUCCAUGGAGGGUGCCACAAACACGAUGCACAACCGCUAAGAAAGGAAAGCUUCCACAAGGUGAUACUGUACCAUCACUCUUCAAGCAAGAAAACAUCUUAAGGUACUUGACUAUCACUUUUAUAAGCUUCUCCUUGGUUCUGGCGUUCAUAUAAAUAAAAGAGACAAACAGGAAUGAUUUACAACUCUAGAUUAACCAACCCAACUGAUUCAACAUGUUUAGUCCUUUAAUCCUUGUUCUUAGUACUACCUCCAUGAUCCCACACUCCUAAUCAUAUGAGCUAAAAUGUUACACAUUCAAUCAUUGUGAGAUAUAAAGAAAAAGACAUAUACAUAGAUAGAUUAUCUUUCCAUAAGGUUGAGCGAUCUGAUCUGACAAAUGUUAUAAGUGCUACACUCAUGAACUUUUCAUCCAUCAACUUUGUCUUGCUCACUAUGCUUAGGGUUAGAGAAGAACAAAUACACUUUAGGUUCUGUUGGUGUUUUCCACCAACAGGACCCAUGCACUUGAUCUCUGCCUUGUCUCUAUGAGCAGGUACACUUUGAGCAAAACACAGAGGAGUUUUAUAACUCUCAGACUCUACCAAGUGAAGGACCUAGAUCUACGAGCACAAACACACUGAGCAAGUUACUGCCAACGCCGCACUUCGAACUGCUGGGCAAACGAAGAACAUAGGUGACACCGUAUCAAGAGGUGCAGACGUCAAGGUCCGCACAUGAAUCAAAUGACGCACUUGAAGAAUGAACACGGUGAGAAGUCUUGUUAAGAAGACUUAAAACAUUGAACCCUCGCCUAAAGGUAAGAUCAGUAGUCAUCCAUAUUUAUCCUUUCUGCAUUCCCUUUUCCCUUUAAUUAUUUACUUUCCUUAAAUAGAUUAUUAGUUAAUCAUGCUAUCUUGAAAAGAAAAUAAAAAUGUUAAAAAAUACUAAGCCCCAUGUGAGUAUACGAGUGGCAUAAAACCCAUAAGUACCUUCACUGUGGUGGCAUAAAAAUAAAAUAAAUAUUUCUUUUCUGCUUUAUAAAAUAAAAAUAUAAAAACAGGGAGUAAUAUUUAUUGAGGAAGCUCAACAUGAUGAAGGCUAGAUAUUUAUGCUAACACUUAAUUAGUUCCACAAGCUUUGUUGUCUAUUUGAGCUCCACAGAAUUUAAGAAUCAAGAAGACAAGCAGACGGAGGACAUUCUAAUCGCUGUCAGAAUGCUGCUGACUUUCAAAUACACCUCUGCCACCUGCUAGCUACAUCAAGAGAAAUUACGUCAAAAUUCAGCUUCGGGGAGAGCACCCCCAUUUAUCUCGCUAAGUAUUUCUAUUUAUCUUUAUACUUAUACUAUAUUAGAAUAUUAAAAUACAUAAACUAUGAAAAACCAAAUAAAGAUUUUGUGCUUAUAUAUAUAUCUUUUGCUUAGUGUGUUUAAUAAAUAAAUAAAGUGGCUAUGCUAAUUUGAAUCUUAAUAAUAAAACUCUAGCAUGGAUAUGAUGAAUAGUUGCUCUACCUAAUUUGCAAAUUUGAAGUUCUCUCUCAAGUUUAGACAUAACUGUUAUAAUUUAAAGCUUGCUCUAGAUCUAAACUUGUGGGAUGAAACCUUGAUCUGAAAUCUAAGUUGUUAACGGAUAUGAUAUGGGAAGGUUGAGCUGUUGUUUAUCUGUUCCUAGAGAUGCUAGAAUUUUGGAGAAUUUUAUCUUUGAAAAAAAUAUUUAAAAUAUUGCAUGAUGAGUUCCUGUAUGAUGAGAGUUUAAAUUCCUACCAUAGCCAUAUAUACAUGCUUGCUAGACUUUGAGCCACACAUUUAUUAUUUACUGCUUAUGAGCAUUGAGUGUGGUCAAGCUGUGUAGACCCUUAGGAGCUUGUCAUGUGGUUAAAAUCAAGAUUCACUUGCACGUUCAUUCAUACAUGCUGCUUCUACUCCGGAAGUACCAUCCACAUAUAUCCACUUAUUUCCAUCUCCAGAACCACCCAAAAAUAUUCUACUCCUAAUCCGGGAGAGAAUAGCCAGAAAUAUUUUUGUUUUCCCUUGUGAAAUAAAUGCUCAAGUUAUCUUGCUACUACCACUUUCUAUAUUAUCUCAAGAGAUGAGUGCUCUAAAAAAAGAGAGAGAAAAGAAGAAAAAAAAUAAUAAACGAGGAAAUAAAAAGGGGCAAGUGCCCGGAACCUCGAAAGAAAAAAAAAGAGUGAGACGAGAGGUAAAAAUGGACAAGUGUCUGACAGUAGAAUUAGGGGUACAAGAUACCCACCUGAGAGGAAAGAAAAAUGAAAUAUAGAGCAUCUCAUUCUCCUCGUAAAGUUUCAAAAAGCAAGGAAGGUAUGUAUCCCCUCAAAAGAGCAAAAGUAGAAUUAGACUUCCACCAUUGUUAUCACCAUCAUCACCAUACACCAUUCAUUCGCCACACAUGCACAUCUUGAUUUGACUUAUUGACUUGUUUCUCUGGAUCCAUGGUUUGACUAUGCAAUAAAUGUCUUGUAAGUAUGUAUUAGCUGUCUCCCAUCUAUGAGCUCUAGAUAUUAAAGCCUUAUUAGAGUAGGGUGAGAGAGAAGGCAAUGUCACUGUGCCUUAUACCACAAAUACCACAUAUCUUGAGAGAAGGCAUAUACCAUCACUGCCUUGGUAAGGAUCCAGAAAUACCACAAAAGAGAGAUUUAGAGAGUCAUACAAGGAAUUUCUGAGUUUUAUUUGAAAAUCUACAAAAACUCCAGAGCUAUAGCUGAUCAAGAAUAAGAGACAUGGCACUUGGCUAGACUGUUCUAUCUUUUAACUACUCAAGACAGAAGUGACGGUUACAAGUCCCAUGGUGAAAGGUAAAGUAAGUAAGUUUUAGUUCUUGAUAGUUUACUCUAACUCAGAGAUGAGAUCUUAUUUAAAAGCAUGUGUACCGUCAAAAUUUUAAGAUAUUGCAACAACUUCUGAUCCAUUGUUGAGUCUAUCCUUGCUCAGGGACGAGCAAGAGGUAAGCUUGGGGGAGUUUGUUGACGGUCCUUAAGUAUCAAAUUUAAUUAUCAAAUAAACAAAGAAAAGGAUCCGUUUUAUCUGACAGAAUUCCACGAGUUUUGGUGUUUGUCUAUUUCUGCAGGGGGUUAUCAGGAAAUAUGGAAGAAAGGCCCACACGUCGGGAUUACAUAGAGAUAUCAACGUGCCGCGCAAUUAUUUUACAUCUAGAAGACUCCAGAAGCCACGGGAAGGAAGCGGAGGCCGAACGGAGCCAGGACCUGGGCGCCUGCCAAAGUCCUUAGGGCGCCCGCCCUGCUACAGUGGCCAAUCACGUUCAACCUCGUGGAUUAUGCUCCACCGACCUAAAGGAUCAAGACUAACCGUUCAAUCAAUGUGAGUUUGAUCCAACGGCCCAGGUUCACUUGAGGGGACUAUAUAACCAGACCCCCUGGCCCCUGAAGGAGGCACCCCUUGAUCAUUACUCAUUAUUCAUAGACAGAGCAAAAGCUAGGGUUUAGAGAUGAGAGCUCUCCUCUCUUCUCUAAACUAGAGUAGAUCUAGAUAGUAGCAAGAUGGAGAGCGAAGGAGGAUUAGAGGAGAGGCCGGCCUGUCGGUUCUUCCUCCGGUUGUACUUUGUCAUGAUCAAGCUCUAAUCAAGCUUGCUCAUGGGAUGACUCUGGUAAUCUACUUCUAAUUCAUUAUGCAAUUACUAAUUAUGUAUGUUCUGGUUCACAACUCUUUUGAGUACUUUAAUCUAUAGGACGCUAUAGGUGAGAGUUGUAGUAUAGGUAUAAGCGUGGUGCUUAGACCUAGAUUACUUGUGGAUAUACCCUGUCUAGCUGGAUCGUGUGGGAGGCCGCGUAGGUGACAGUUACUAGUCCACCUCUCGUUAGCAGGAUGGGUAGAGUUUAUCGGCCUAAGGAUAAGCAUCCUUUGUGGUGUACUCUUAUCACGUGGUUCGUCCCAGACAUAGACAUACCCCUUUGAAGUAGAGAAACCAUAGUUAUACUCUCUAUUCUGCUACCAUCGCCUAUAUAUUAGAUUGCUCUAUUCUCUAUUCCCAUAUUAUCACUCACUGUUAUCUUACCUUUAAUAUUGUUCUUAUUUAAUUCUAUCAUCUUUCCUAUUUACACUUAUCUAUCUAUCCUGGUUAAGUUAGAGCGUAGUUGGUUCUCCCGUUUCCCUGUGGAUACGAUAAAACCUUUAACCGGGUAAAAGCUUCAACGGUAUCCGUGCUCUUGCAGAUUAUCUGUGUGCGUAUAAAUACCAUAGUACACUCUAGUGCCAUGCUGGGGAUGACAACCUAGUAUUCAAGUGGUGUUAGCAAGUGUCAACAAGCAUUUUUGGCGCCGUUGCCGGGGAAACGGUUGCUGAGUUGACUACGAACUAGCUUAAUCAUUUUCUAAAAAAUAAAAAUAAAAAAAAUAUAUUUUCCUUUUAUCCUUUGCCUCAUCUCUGCUAAUCUUUCUUCUUAUCUAAUCCUUGAUCUCUGGUCUAUCAUGAAUUCAAACAUGUCUAUCUAUGAAUUUCAUAGACCUACGGGCACACAUCUCGAACCACCAAAAUCUUCAAAGCCUAUCAUAGCAUCUAGUUUUGAGAUAGACCCCGAAUACAUAGAAUUUGUUCAAAAACAACCUUUCUCAGGAGAAGGUGAGGAAAACCCAUACACACACCUAAGAGAGUUUUAUCGAGUAUGUGACCUCCUUCGCAUAGAAGGCAUGUCCGAUGAGACCCUCAAAUGGAAGCUCUUUCCGUUCUCUUUAAUAGAAAAAGCUAGACAUUGGUACAAACUCAAAGUAGGGAGUGUUCAUGGAGAUUGGAAGGAGUUACAUAAUAGUUUUCUUUUAAAAUAUUUUCCAAUCCCUAAAGUGGCGGAACUUCGGCGUGAGAUUCUUUCUUUUAGACAACUGGAAGAAGAAUCUCUUGGCAAAUCAUGGGACCGCUUUAUUAACCUUACUCUCACUGGCCCAAAGCUUUUUAUUCCAGAAGAAGUUCUUCUAAUUCACUUUUUUGAGGGCCUUAGUGGGGAAAAUAAGCAAACCUUGAAUACAGCCUCUAGAGGAUCCUUCUAUCACCUACGUGCUAGUGAAGCUUGGAAUUUGAUUGAUUUAUUAAGUGGAAAGUCUCCUAGCUUUUAUAUCCCUGAGAAAGAGACAGAACCAGUUCCUAGACAAGAAGAAGAAGUUUUGAUAGCC